Molecule: ribosomal RNA, 321 nt
Filed under: uncultured bacterium
Lineage: Bacteria
Description: bacterial SSU rRNA
Rfam family: Bacterial small subunit ribosomal RNA
Source: RNAcentral
CUCCUACGGGAGGCAGCAGUGGCGGAUAUUGCACAAGGGGGGAAACCCUGAUGCAGCGACGCCGCGAACAGGAAGAAGGUUUUCGGAUUGUAAACUCCUGUCGUUAGGGACGAUAAUGACGGUACCUAACAAGAAAGCACACCGCAUAACUACGUGCCAGCAGCCGCGGUAAAACGUAGGGUGCAAGCAUUGUCCGGAAUUAAUGGGUGUAAAGGGAGCGCAGGCGCACCGGCAAGUUGGAAGUGAAAACUAUGGGCUCAACCCAUAAAUUGCUUUCAAAAUGCUGGCCUUGAGUAGUGCAGAGGUAGGUGGCUUUCCCGG